GACGAACGCUGGCGGCGUGCUUAACACAUGCCAGUCGAACGGAAAGGCCCUGCUUUGGUGGGGUGCUCGAGUGGCGAACGGGUGGGUAACACGGGAGUAACCUGCCCUGGACUUUGGGAUAACUUCAGGAAACUGGGGCUAAUACCGGAUAGGCGCUCCCGCUGCAUGGUGGGGGUUGGAAAGUUUCGGCGGUUGGGGAUGGACUCGCGGCUUAUCAGCUUGCUGGUGGGGUAGUGGCUGACCAAGGCUUUGACGGGUAGCCGGCCUUAGAGGGUGACCGGCCACAUUGGGACUGAGAUACGGCCCAGACGCCUACGGGCGGCAGCAGUGGGGAGUAUUGCGCAGUGGGGCGACGUGUGAGGCGGCAGCUUCGCGUGCGGGAUGACGGGCUUCGGGUUGUAAACCGCUUUCGCAUGUGACGAAGCGUGAGUGACGGUAAUGGGUAAAGAAGCCCCGGCUAACUACGUG
This 468-nucleotide ribosomal RNA is filed under the name uncultured bacterium. Its description in RNAcentral is "partial 16S ribosomal RNA". It matches the Rfam family "Bacterial small subunit ribosomal RNA", at positions 28 to 507 of the family's 1533-position model. The record is from RNAcentral.